Leucoraja erinaceus (little skate) is the source of this 2750-nucleotide long non-coding RNA. RefSeq lists it as uncharacterized. The transcript is spliced from 2 exons. The record is from RefSeq and is a predicted model, not a curated record. Lineage: Eukaryota; Metazoa; Chordata; Chondrichthyes; Rajiformes; Rajidae.
GGCUAAUGGAAUCAAGGGAUAUGGGGGGAAAGCAGGAACGGGGCACUGAUUUUGGUUGAUCAGCCAUGAUCAUAUUGAAUGGCAGUGCAGGCUCAAAGCGCCGAAGGACCUACUCCUGCACCCAUUUUCUAUGCUUCUAUGUUUCUAUCUCACCUAUUCAACUUCUCCAAAGAUGCUGAAGAAGGGUCUCGAACCGAAACGUCACCCAUUCCUUCUCUCCAGAGAUGCUGCCUGUCCUGCUGAGUUACUCCAGCUUUUUGUGUCUAUCUCCAAAGAUGCUGUCUGACCCGCUGAGUUACUCCCAACAUGGGUUGCUGACCCCAAAUGAUACUACAGUUUGUCUUUCUACAGUGUUGGGUUUAUUUUUUAAACCUUCUUAAUAUAUAAACUGUAAUUUAACCUUCUUUAGUUUCAAAUAUAUAGUUUGUUCAUAAUUUAAACAUAGUAAAUAUACAUUGUUCUCUAUACAUUGCCAACAGCAGAAUUGACAGUAUACAUUGUUCUCUACAUUCAUUGAAACAUCAACUUGAUACAUUCUCAUGUCUCCUCCUUACUCAAUGCAUUCCAUGCUUUCUGACAUGAUUGGCCCAUUUCCCUUGCUGAUUACUCACACUGGGGUAAUAGUGGAAAAUCUCCCCUGUACUGAGUGUCUCAUGAACCUGCAGUUAUCUUGAUUUCAUCUUGAUUGUGUAAUAUAGCACAACAUAAAUCCUGUGAGUGAAGAGAUUCUUGACAAAUCAACUCUGCAUUUCUUGGUACCUCAAAUUCCAACGACAAUGUUUUACGUAUUUUUAAUUGACUAUUGAGCACUUUGUCGCACCUUGAAAUCACAAAAGGCAACUUGCAUUUAUGACCUUAUUUUGUCAAUGGACAUCCAAAAAUGCAAGAGACUUCUUUUCUUAGUCCAGUCAAAGAAGAUCAAGAACAGCAAAUACAGCAUGACAAGUAAAGAUACAAAGUGCUGGAGCAACUCAGCAGGACAGGCAGCAACUCUGGAGAACAUGGAGAGUAGACGUUUUGAGUCAGGACCCUUCUUCAGACAAUUGUUCUUGUAUUUUUGCCCCUUUUUCAUCUUUACAAUUAAGCUGAACCAUCACAUGACAACAAUUUCUAAUCUUUUAUAAAGCAUAUACUGGAUUUAAUUGAGAAAUAUUCAAGCAGCAGUUCCAGUGCUUGUGGUGUAGGGGCUUGCAUUGCAUCAAUAUGAUUAAAUAUAAAUUGGUGAUAAAAGUAAAUAAUGACAGCGGUCCAAGCAUCCUCUAAUACCAGACGAUGAUGUUGAAUAGAAACAUAUACAGUGUAACAGCAAUUCAAAACUUACAAAAGAGAAAACUAUGAAGUCCAGGCACCAUAAAUAGGUAAAUCAUAAUUAAAGCUGCUGCUUCCGAAGAAUCCUGUAACUCGAGCUUAUUCUUGAAAACAGAAAUGUUUUUGAAUGAUGUCUUUUUAAACAAAUGCCAAUUAUUGACUAACACUGUGAUCCCAACAGAAAGGUAUUGUUCACGGAAAGGUAGUAAUCCAAACAGUUCCUUGCACCAGAUGCCUGCUAAAUUGUUUUUAAUUCUCAGUAGACAGUAGAUAACUAAACCUAGAGGACCUAGUAAUAGCAAAGAGGAAGUAAUCACAUCAGUCUUCUCCUGGCAUGCAAACAAGGAAAAGGCAUCUGUUAUAUGUGAGUCACAAGCCAUCAGAGCCCUGACAGUGCGUGGAAUAGACCUAAUUUAUUAAACAGAGUUUCUAAUAUAAACACUAAUUUAUUUCAAACUGAAUGACCGUAGAUCUGGAUUAUGUGAGCAACAUGCAAAGUAAUUCUAGUAUGAUGUUAGAAAGGCAGCUGCACUACAACACGCUCAGAAAACUGAUUCAUUUGGAUUGAGAAUAUCAAGAUGCCACCAGAGGAGACUGAUCGUAUGACUGGAAACCACUGCUGUGCAGAGAUCUAGGGCUGGAAUUAUAUUGCACUUGGUGUGAACUGAGACAGUUAUGACAAGGUCAACUGGACUGAUCCUCACUCCGUACAACUUUACUAAGCCUGGUAAUACUUUCAUGUUGUUUUACUUUUCUGCUGGAUUGGCAUCUGUAUGAAUAUGUUCAUCCUCUGGACAAAUAUAUUGCCUCUGCCUUGUUGGGCGAAAUAAAACAAUUACCAAAUGCUUUUCCAAGUAGAUAUUUUCAGUGGUAUGAACAAUAUUUCAUUUGAAGCGGUGAAACGUUUAGUAUUUAUCAGUAAAAUUCCGGCAUCCAUCUCUAAAGUGGAGUUUGUUUGGUCCGCAGUUGUUUAACGUUUGUUUGGUCCGCAGUUGUUUAACGUUUGCCUCAUGAAGAAGCUUAUGGGGUCCAGCUUGAUUUAACACAUGGGGGCCACCUUGUGGUUAAUGAUGACAUUUAUAAUUAUAUUCAAUUUUGGUUUAGAAUCAUCGUUAGAGGGCACAGAGAUAAGCCCUUUGCCCCAUCAUCUCCAUGUCAACGUCAACCAACAAGCAUUGACCAGCAUGUGGUCCUUAGCUUUGUAUGUCAUGUGGUUCAAGUAGUUGUCACAAUGCUUUUUUUUAUUUUUUAUUUUUUAUAAUAUUUUUAUUAGAAGUAGACAUAUUAUAAAGUAUAGUUACAUAUUAUAGUAAAAAGACUUUUCAUAUACAUCAGUCAUACAUUAUUAAAAUUUUCAAUUAUCAAUUACUUCUGCUUCUAGUGUUUUUAUUUUUUAUAGAAAGAGAGGGUAGAAAGUUACAAAUAAAAAAAAAACAGAAAAA